AGACCCCAUCCGGCGCUUAUCUCCGGCACUCAUGAUGGCUUAGCUCUUGAAGGGGUUUAAGAAUGUU
Molecule: small RNA, 67 nt
Filed under: Klebsiella oxytoca
Lineage: Bacteria; Pseudomonadati; Pseudomonadota; Gammaproteobacteria; Enterobacterales; Enterobacteriaceae
Description: rydB RNA
Source: RNAcentral